AGACCCGAAACCCGGUGAUCUAGCCAUGGGCAGGUUGAAGGUUGGGUAACACUAACUGGAGGACCGAACCGACUAAUGUUGAAAAAUUAGCGGAUGACCUGUGGCUGGGGGUGAAAGGCCAAUCAAACCGGGAGAUAGCUGGUUCUCCCCGAAAGCUAUUUAGGUAGCGCCUCGUGAAUUCAUCUCCGGGGGUAGAGCACUGUUUCGGCUAGGGGGCCAUCCCGGCUUACCAACCCGAUGCAAACUGCGAAUACCGGAGAAUGUUAUCACGGGAGACACACGGCGGGUGCUAACGUCCGUCGUGAAGAGGGAAACAACCCAGACCGCCAGCUAAGGUCCCAAAGUCAUGGUUAAGUGGGAAACGAUGUGGGAAGGCCCAGACAGCCAGGAUGUUGGCUUAGAAGCAGCCAUCAUUUAAAGAAAGCGUAAUAGCUCACUGGUCGAGUCGGCCUGCGCGGAAGAUGUAACGGGGCUAAACCAUGCACCGAAGCUGCGGCAGCGAACGUAUCACUUAAAGCGAUUCAGCGGGUUACGAUUGACGGAGCGAAGCGACGUCAAAGCGUAUACAAAGUCGAGUCGGUUUAAGGAUACGUUCGUUGGGUAGGGGAGCGUUCUGUAAGCCUGCGAAGGUGGCCUGUGAGGGUUGCUGGAGGUAUCAGAAGUGCGAAUGCUGACAUAAGUAACGAUAAAGCGGGUGAAAAGCCCGCUCGCCGGAAGACCAAGGGUUCCUGUCCAACGUUAAUCGGGGCAGGGUGAGUCGACCCCUAAGGCGAGGCCGAAAGGCGUAGUCGAUGGGAAACGGGUUAAUAUUCCCGUACUUGGUGUUACUGCGAAGGGGGGACGGAGAAGGCUAUGUUGGCCGGGCGACGGUUGUCCCGGUUUAAGCGUGUAGGUGUGUGUUCCAGGUAAAUCCGGUUCACUUUAACACUGAGGCGUGACGACGAGGCACUACGGUGCUGAAGCAACAAAUGCCCUGCUUCCAGGAAAAGCCUCUAAGCAUCAGGUAACAUCAAAUCGUACCCCAAACCGACACAGGUGGUCAGGUAGAGAAUACCAAGGCGCUUGAGAGAACUCGGGUGAAGGAACUAGGCAAAAUGGUGCCGUAACUUCGGGAGAAGGCACGCUGACACGUAGGUGAAGUGAUUUACUCACGGAGCUGAAGUCAGUCGAAGAUACCAGCUGGCUGCAACUGUUUAUUAAAAACACAGCACUGUGCAAACACGAAAGUGGACGUAUACGGUGUGACGCCUGCCCGGUGCCGGAAGGUUAAUUGAUGGGGUCAGCGCAAGCGAAGCUCCUGAUCGAAGCCCCGGUAAACGGCGGCCGUAACUAUAACGGUCCUAAGGUAGCGAAAUUCCUUGUCGGGUAAGUUCCGACCUGCACGAAUGGCGUAAUGAUGGCCAGGCUGUCUCCACCCGAGACUCAGUGAAAUUGAACUCGCUGUGAAGAUGCAGUGUACCCGCGGCAAGACGGAAAGACCCCGUGAACCUUUACUAUAGCUUGACACUGAACAUUGAGCCUUGAUGUGUAGGAUAGGUGGGAGGCUUUGAAGUGUGGACGCCAGUCUGCAUGGAGCCGACCUUGAAAUACCACCCUUUAAUGUUUGAUGUUCUAACGUGGACCCGUGAUCCGGGUUGCGGACAGUGUCUGGUGGGUAGUUUGACUGGGGCGGUCUCCUCCUAAAGAGUAACGGAGGAGCACGAAGGUUGGCUAAUCCUGGUCGGACAUCAGGAGGUUAGUGCAAUGGCAUAAGCCAGCUUGACUGCGAGCGUGACGGCGCGAGCAGGUGCGAAAGCAGGUCAUAGUGAUCCGGUGGUUCUGAAUGGAAGGGCCAUCGCUCAACGGAUAAAAGGUACUCCGGGGAUAACAGGCUGAUACCGCCCAAGAGUUCAUAUCGACGGCGGUGUUUGGCACCUCGAUGUCGGCUCAUCACAUCCUGGGGCUGAAGUAGGUCCCAAGGGUAUGGCUGUUCGCCAUUUAAAGUGGUACGCGAGCUGGGUUUAGAACGUCGUGAGACAGUUCGGUCCCUAUCUGCCGUGGGCGCUGGAGAACUGAGGGGGGCUGCUCCUAGUACGAGAGGACCGGAGUGGACGCAUCACUGGUGUUCGGGUUGUCAUGCCAAUGGCACUGCCCGGUAGCUAAAUGCGGAAGAGAUAAGUGCUGAAAGCAUCUAAGCACGAAACUUGCCCCGA
RNAcentral lists this ribosomal RNA (2192 nucleotides) under Salmonella enterica. Its description in RNAcentral is "partial 23S ribosomal RNA". It matches the Rfam family "Bacterial large subunit ribosomal RNA", at positions 711 to 2802 of the family's 2925-position model. The record is from RNAcentral. Lineage: Bacteria; Pseudomonadati; Pseudomonadota; Gammaproteobacteria; Enterobacterales; Enterobacteriaceae.